GGAGUUUGGGCCGUGUCUCAGUCCCAAUGUGGCCGGUCACCCUCUCAGGUCGGCUACUGAUCGUCGCCUUGGUAGGCCAUUACCCUGCCAACUAGCUAAUCAGACGCGGGCCCAUCCUAUACCGUCGGAGCUUUUCACACCGUAUCAUGCGAUACUGUGCGCUUAUGCGGUAUUAGCAGUCGUUUCCAACUGUUAUCCCCCUGUAUAGGGCAGGUUACCCACGCGUUACUCACCCGUCCGCCACUCAGUCAUAAAAGCUUCCAUCCGAAAACUUCCGCUUAAAUGCUUCGUUCGACUUGCAUGUGUUAAGCACGCCGCCAGCGUUCAUC
RNAcentral lists this ribosomal RNA (329 nucleotides) under uncultured Lachnospiraceae bacterium. Its description in RNAcentral is "partial 16S ribosomal RNA". The record is from RNAcentral. Lineage: Bacteria; Bacillati; Bacillota; Clostridia; Lachnospirales; Lachnospiraceae.